This 125-nucleotide ribosomal RNA is filed under the name Streptomyces sp. ISL-14. Its description in RNAcentral is "partial 16S ribosomal RNA". It matches the Rfam family "Bacterial small subunit ribosomal RNA", at positions 1 to 122 of the family's 1533-position model. The record is from RNAcentral. Lineage: Bacteria; Bacillati; Actinomycetota; Actinomycetes; Kitasatosporales; Streptomycetaceae.
UCUUCGGAGAGUUUGAUCCUGGCUCAGGACGAACGCUGGCGGCGUGCCUAAUACAUGCAAGUCGAGCGAAUCGACGGGAGCUUGCUCCCUGAGAUUAGCGGCGGACGGGUGAGUAACACGUGGGC